GUUGCUUUGGUCGAGUGGUUAAGGCGUGUGCCUGCUAAGUACAUGGAGUUUCCCCUCAAGAGUUCAAAUCUCUUAGACAACA
Cucurbita moschata (crookneck pumpkin) is the source of this 82-nucleotide non-coding RNA. NCBI's taxonomy places the organism in Eukaryota, Viridiplantae, Streptophyta, Magnoliopsida, Cucurbitales, Cucurbitaceae. The record is from the annotation of a RefSeq genome assembly.